RNAcentral lists this transfer RNA (72 nucleotides) under Bos taurus (domestic cattle). It matches the Rfam family "tRNA". Rfam says of the family: Transfer RNA (tRNA) molecules are approximately 80 nucleotides in length. Their secondary structure includes four short double-helical elements and three loops (D, anti-codon, and T loops). Further hydrogen bonds mediate the characteristic L-shaped molecular structure. tRNAs have two regions of fundamental functional importance: the anti-codon, which is responsible for specific mRNA codon recognition, and the 3' end, to which the tRNAs corresponding amino acid is attached (by aminoacyl-tRNA synthetases). tRNAs cope with the degeneracy of the genetic code in two manners: having more than one tRNA (with a specific anti-codon) for a particular amino acid; and 'wobble' base-pairing, i.e. permitting non-standard base-pairing at the 3rd anti-codon position. RNAcentral also lists the same sequence under 4 other names. Lineage: Eukaryota; Metazoa; Chordata; Mammalia; Artiodactyla; Bovidae. The record is from Rfam by way of RNAcentral.
UCCCUGAUAGCUCAGUUGGUAAAGAAUCUGCCUGCAACGCAGGAGACCCCAGUUUGAUUACUGGGUCGGGAA